AGUGAACGCUGGCGGUAGGCCUAACACAUGCAAGUCGAACGGCAGCACAGUAAGAGCUUGCUCUUACGGGUGGCGAGUGGCGGACGGGUGAGGAAUACAUCGGAAUCUACUUUUUCGUGGGGGAUAACGUAGGGACACUUACGCUAAUACCGCAUACGACCUACGGGUGAAAGCAGGGGAUCUUCGGACCUUGCGCGAUUGAAUGAGCCGAUGUCGGAUUAGCUAGUUGGCGGGGUAAAGGCCCACCAAGGCGACGAUCCGUAGCUGGUCUGAGAGGAUGAUCAGCCACACUGGAACUGAGACACGGUCCAGACUCCUACGGGAGGCAGCAGUGGGGAAUAUUGGACAAUGGGCGAAAGCCUGAUCCAGCCAUACCGCGUGGGUGAAGAAGGCCUUCGGGUUGUAAAGCCCUUUUGUUGGGAAAGAAAAGCAGCAGGUUAAUCCCCCGCUGUUCUGACGGUACCCAAAGAAUAAGCACCGGCUAACUUCGUG
Molecule: ribosomal RNA, 492 nt
Filed under: uncultured bacterium
Lineage: Bacteria
Description: partial 16S ribosomal RNA
Rfam family: Bacterial small subunit ribosomal RNA
Source: RNAcentral